This 758-nucleotide ribosomal RNA is filed under the name alpha proteobacterium SCGC AAA015-B14. RNAcentral describes it as "SSU rRNA". It matches the Rfam family "Bacterial small subunit ribosomal RNA", at positions 56 to 863 of the family's 1533-position model. Lineage: Bacteria; Pseudomonadati; Pseudomonadota; Alphaproteobacteria. The record is from RNAcentral.
UGCAGUCGAACGAAGUAGCAAUACUUAGUGGCAGACGGGUGAGUAACAUGUAGGUAUCUUCCCUUUGGUGAGGAAUAACACGAGGAAACUUGUGCUAAUACCUCAUAAGUCUUUACGGAGAAAGCUUUAUGCGCCGAAGGAUGAGCCUGCACUUGAUUAGUUUGUUGGUGGGGUAAUGGCCUACCAAGACUUUGAUCUAUAGCUGAUCUGAGAGGAUGAUCAGCCACAUUGGGACUGAGACACGGCCCAAACUCCUACGGGAGGCAGCAGUAGGGAAUAUUGCACAAUGGAGGAAACUCUGAUGCAGCGAUGCCGCGUGAGUGAAGAAGGCCUUUGGGUUGUAAAGCUCUUUCGUCGGGGAAGAAAAUGACUGUACCCGAAUAAGAAGGUCCGGCUAACUUCGUGCCAGCAGCCGCGGUAAUACGAAGGGACCUAGCGUAGUUCGGAAUUACUGGGCUUAAAGAGUUCGUAGGUGGUUAAAAAAGUUGGUGGUGAAAUCCCAGAGCUUAACUCUGGAACUGCCAUCAAAACUUUUUAGCUAGAGUAUGAUAGAGGAAAGCAGAAUUUCUAGUGUAGAGGUGAAAUUCGUAGAUAUUAGAAAGAAUACCAAUUGCGAAGGCAGCUUUCUGGAUCAUUACUGACGCUGAGGAACGAAAGCAUGGGUAGCGAAGAGGAUUAGAUACCCUCGUAGUCCAUGCCGUAAACGAUGUGUGUUAGACGUUGGAAAUUUAUUUUCAGUGUCGCAGCGAAAGCGUUAA